This is a long non-coding RNA of Scylla paramamosain (green mud crab), 2518 nucleotides long. RefSeq lists it as uncharacterized. The transcript has 3 exons. NCBI's taxonomy places the organism in Eukaryota, Metazoa, Arthropoda, Malacostraca, Decapoda, Portunidae. The record is from RefSeq and is a predicted model, not a curated record.
CCGAUGUAGAAACUUAUCAUGAACAUAGCAUAGCCGAUACCUGAAAUUGUGAUGAUUCAUGAGUAAAAUUAGCAGAAAUGCUGUGAUCUCAGCCAACCACAUUAUAAACUUAAUACUUACUUAUCAAUAACAAAAAUUGCCUUCAUACAACAUUAAAAUAGCGUGAUGAAAUAUUUCAAGCUAAACAAUUUUUAUUAGAUUGAUGUAUCUUUCAUGUACACCUCCAUAUAAAUUGGCUUAUAUCCACGUAACAUUCACAUUACUUUAUCAUAUUUUUAGAAAAAUAUUUUUGGCUUUUUUCAUACAGAACUCCGUAAAUAGGAAAAAAAAGUAAUACAUUUAAAUAGAUACAAAUUUCCCGCUGAAAGACGUCACCGUAAACACUUGGCGCCACAGUGUCUUCAAACGUGUAAGAAGGGAAAAGUGUACUUCCGUGUGUAAUUACUCGUGUUCUGCAUAUUACAAGGAUGUGCUCCUCUUCAAUGUGUCCACUACUGUCUGCUGUGCUUUCUCACCAUAUAACCAAGGGGAACGUGCCAGACAGAGAAAUCACGCGGGAACACACCCGUCUCUGGCAGUACCACUUGGCAGUACCUUAGCAGUGGACACGUGAAGACAACAUUGCGAAGCGGCUCUGCGUGACCUCGUAGUGGAAGUCCGUAGCAUCAGUCAGGCAGUCAAUCAGUCAGUCAGAAUUAGCAAGUGUUCAUCUUCUGAUCAAAGUAAGUAAGUUAUUCACCCAUCACCGACCAAAACGAAUAGGAAAAUCACCAUAUUCGACCAAGACAAGCAGGAAAAUGACCUUAUUCGACCAAAACAAGCACAAAAAUCAUCACAUUCGACCAAAACAAACAGAAAAAUCACCAUAUUCAACCAAAACAAGCAGAAAAAUCACCAUAUUCGACCAAAACAAGCAGAAAAAUCACAUGUUCGACCAAAACAAGCAGAAAAAUCACAUAUUCGACCAAGACAAGCAGGAAAAUCACCCACUCACCUUCAGACUUUCAAACGACCGGGAAUGCACUGACGAAGAAAGAACCUCAACAUGGGAACUUGGUCUACUGAACACCUCUUUACCGAACAGUAAGUGACGACCGUUUUCUACCAUUUAAAUAUAAACCCACGAAGUAAAGUGGGUCACCUCUGUAUUGGCUAGGGCGGCAGGUGAAGGACCGCUAAUGACAGGAGUAGCGGGUGUUAUACUCGUAUUUAGACCUACGUACGUGUGUAGGCCUAAGAUAGAUGCCAGGUGGUUAUUCACUGUUCCCUCGUAAUUCUGCCUGGCGCUACAUGACCUUGUUUUUGGGUAGGCUUAGUUUUAUUAGUGCUUUUCUGCUCCCUUAGUGGUUGUUAACUCAUUCAAUGCUCUGCUCACCAUCUCUUAGCCUUCAGAGUACCGUGAGAAUGGGUACACCAAUAUAUAGAGAGAGAGAAUUGGAGGUUAUAUUUUUCUCUUCUCGUUUGUAAAUCUAUUUAAAGAAACUGGAUCAUAAGAAUAAGUGUCCAUAAAAGUUGUAAUUAUGGAGAAACAUUAUCUGGUAAGCAAAGGGUUAAGAAACUAAUUAUAGAAUGCAUACAUGGCUAGUUAAUUGCUGUAGUUAGGUUACUUAGUUUUAAUGACCAAAAUACAUACAUGGUCAGUUAGUCAGUGUGUUUAGUUUUUUCAUUGACCAAAAUAAUAAAGGUAUACACAACAGUACAGUAAAUAUAUACAAAAAUCUUUACUGUUAAAAGAAUUAUACUUUCAACACGUUCUUGUCGUACAUACAUACAUGCACGAGGAAAAAUGAUACUGCGUUGCACAUGAAUCAGGAUAGAAGACUUGCUUGGGUAAAUUCAAGGAAAACAUCAUGAUAAAUAUUAAGGAAAGCUCUGGAUUCCACAAGCAUCAGGCGUGAAAUACAAGUACAUAUUAGAUUACCCUAUUUGAAUGGGAAAAUACUAGGUUGGAAAGAUGUCAGGGGGAAAAAGAAGUAGGUUGGGAAAAUUAUCAGGGAAAGAAAGAGGUUAAAGAAGUGCGAAGGGGGAAAAAAAUAGUCCAGAGUGGAUGAUUGUCAGAGAAAGUAUUAGGUUAGAUUGGAAAGAUGUCAAGGAAAAAAUCUAAGUCUGGAAAAAAAGUAUCAGGGAAAGUAUGACGUUAAAGAAGUGCCAAGUAAAAAAAAUAAAAUAAAAAAACUCUAGAUCGGAUAACUGUCAGAGAAAAUAUUAGAUUGGACUGGAAAAAAAUAUCAAGGCGAAAAAAAUACUAAUCUGGAAAAGUAUCGAGGAAAAUAAGAUGUCAGAAAACUGCAAGGAAAAAAAAAAAGUCAAGAUUGGAUAAUUGUCAGGUUACCUGAACGUGAGACUUCCUACCGCUUCUCUUGUGUUCACCAUUUACUGACAGAGACUAGCCUUAGGAAACACGAGAGGAAAAAGAGCUUACGUUUGGAUGAUUGUCAAGGAGAAUGUUAGAUCAGAUACUUGACUUAGGAACAUAUUCUGAAAAGGCUCUAGUUGAAGUGACAUGGGUUUUUAAGUG